UACGUAGGGGGCUAGCGUUGUCCGGAAUCAUUGGGCGUAAAGAGCGCGUAGGCGGCCAGAUAAGUCCGGUGUGAAAGUCAAAGGCUCAACCUUUGAAUGCCGCUGGAAACUGUCUGGCUAGAGUCCGGGAGGGGCGAGUGGAAUUCCUGGUGUAGCGGUGAAAUGCGCAGAUAUCAGGAGGAACACCAAUGGCGAAGGCAGCUCGCUGGAACGGUACUGACGUUGAGGCGCGAAAGCGUGGGGAGCAAACAGG
Molecule: ribosomal RNA, 253 nt
Filed under: uncultured bacterium
Lineage: Bacteria
Description: partial 16S ribosomal RNA
Rfam family: Bacterial small subunit ribosomal RNA
Source: RNAcentral